Oryza brachyantha (malo sina) is the source of this 209-nucleotide non-coding RNA. NCBI's taxonomy places the organism in Eukaryota, Viridiplantae, Streptophyta, Magnoliopsida, Poales, Poaceae. The record is from Rfam.
AAUAAGAUCAUUUUUCGUUUUUCCGUGUCCAAUGUUUGACCAUUCGUCUUAUUUGAAAAAAAUUUGCGAUUAAUAUUUUUGUUUUUAUUAGAUGAUAAAACAUGAAUAGUACUUUAUGUGUGACUAAUUUUUUUAAGUUUUUAUACAAAUUUUUCAAAUAAGACGAAUGGUUAAACGUUGGGCACGGAAAAACGAAAAAUGAUCUUAUU